RNAcentral lists this unclassified non-coding RNA (385 nucleotides) under uncultured Pseudobdellovibrionaceae bacterium. Its description in RNAcentral is "uncultured Bdellovibrionaceae bacterium contains 16S-23S intergenic spacer region". Lineage: Bacteria; Pseudomonadati; Bdellovibrionota; Bdellovibrionia; Bdellovibrionales; Pseudobdellovibrionaceae. The record is from RNAcentral.
UCCGGUUUAUCACGCGGCAGUCUCGCUAGAGUCCCCAACUGAAUGAUGGUAACUAGCGAUAGGGGUUGCGCUCGUUGCCGGACUUAACCGAACACCUCACAGCACGAGCUGACGACAGCCAUGCAGCACCUGUCACCGAGCUCCUUCGUGAGAAGGCACCCCCGUGUUUCCACAGGGUUCUCGGGAUGUCAAGCCUGGGUAAGGUUCUGCGCGUUGCUUCGAAUUAAGCCACAUGCUCCGCCGCUUGUGCGGGCCCCCGUCAAUUCCUUUGAGUUUUAGCCUUGCGGCCGUACUCCCCAGGCGGGGCACUUAAUGCGUUAGCUGCGGCACGGAACCCGUUGAUAAGGCCCCACACCUAGUGCCCAACGUUUACGGCGUGGACUAC